This is a long non-coding RNA of Neltuma alba, 251 nucleotides long. RefSeq lists it as uncharacterized. Lineage: Eukaryota; Viridiplantae; Streptophyta; Magnoliopsida; Fabales; Fabaceae. The record is from RefSeq and is a predicted model, not a curated record. The transcript has 2 exons.
CCUUUUAUGCUUUAACAAUAGUGCCACAGCAUCCUCAACUCCAAGUUCUGGGCCCACGAAGGAAGAUGCCAGUUGCUGAGAGGCAUCUUGUCCAUUUGCUUCAGAUUUCUCAACUAGCUUUCGUUUUCUUAAAAUCAAACCAGGAGCAGCAGACUCAAUAUUAGAUUCUUCUAUUGCCUUCGCAUCACCACUAGUGCCCAAAAUUUUGUUCCUGUCCUUGUAAUCAAUAAAUGGUUCAGACUCAACAUCCA